UACGUAGGUGGCAAGCGUUGUCCGGAAUUAUUGGGCGUAAAGCGCGCGCAGGCGGUCUCUUAAGUCUGAUGUGAAAGCCCACGGCUCAACCGUGGAGGGUCAUUGGAAACUGGGAGACUUGAGUGCAGAAGAGGAGAGUGGAAUUCCACGUGUAGCGGUGAAAUGCGUAGAUAUGUGGAGGAACACCAGUGGCGAAGGCGACUCUCUGGUCUGUAACUGACGCUGAGGCGCGAAAGCGUGGGGAGCAAACAGG
RNAcentral lists this ribosomal RNA (253 nucleotides) under uncultured bacterium. Its description in RNAcentral is "partial 16S ribosomal RNA". It matches the Rfam family "Bacterial small subunit ribosomal RNA", at positions 524 to 776 of the family's 1533-position model. The record is from RNAcentral.